GACGAACGCUGGCGGCGUGCCUAAUACAUGCAAGUCGAACGAACCGCGACUAGGUGCUUGCACUUGGUCAAGGUGAGUGGCGAACGGGUGAGUAACACGUGGGUAACCUACCUCAUAGUGGGGGAUAACAGUCGGAAACGACUGCUAAUACCGCAUAGGACAUAGGAUCACAUGAUCCAGUGAGGAAAGGUGGCGCAAGCUAUCGCUAAGAGAUGGACCCGCGGUGCAUUAGCUAGUUGGUAGGGUAAAGGCCUACAAGGCGAUGAUGCAUAGCCGACCUGAGAGGGUGAUCGGCCACAUUGGGACUGAGACACGGCCCAAACUCCUACGGGAGGCAGCAGUAGGGAAUCUUCCGCAAUGGACGCAAGUCUGACGGAGCAACGCCGCGUGAGUGAAGAAGGUCUUCGGAUCGUAAAGCUCUGUUGUUAGAGAAGAACAGCGCAUAGAGUAACUGUUAUGCGUGUGACGGUAUCUAACCAGAAAGCCACGGCUAACUACGUG
RNAcentral lists this ribosomal RNA (501 nucleotides) under uncultured bacterium. RNAcentral describes it as "partial 16S ribosomal RNA". It matches the Rfam family "Bacterial small subunit ribosomal RNA", at positions 28 to 507 of the family's 1533-position model. The record is from RNAcentral.